GAAUUCCUAGUAAACGCAAGUCAUCAGCUUGCAUUGAUUACGUCCCUGCCCUUUGUACACACCGCCCGUCGCACCUACCGAUUGAAUGACUCGGUGAAAAAUUGGGACCGUGAGUCUGUUUGCUUUAUUGCGAGUGGAUUGAUGGGAACUUUUUUAAACCUCGCCAUUUAGAGGAAGGUGAAGUCGUAACAAGGUUUCCGUAGGUGAACCUGCGGAAGGAUCAUUA
RNAcentral lists this ribosomal RNA (226 nucleotides) under Phytophthora infestans T30-4. Its description in RNAcentral is "18S ribosomal RNA". It matches the Rfam family "Eukaryotic small subunit ribosomal RNA", at positions 1608 to 1831 of the family's 1831-position model. The record is from RNAcentral. Lineage: Eukaryota; Oomycota; Peronosporomycetes; Peronosporales; Peronosporaceae.